This is a non-coding RNA of Pelobates cultripes (western spadefoot toad), 319 nucleotides long. The record is from the annotation of a GenBank genome assembly. Lineage: Eukaryota; Metazoa; Chordata; Amphibia; Anura; Pelobatidae.
CCCUAAUACGUGUCCCUCCCUUAUUGUUAUUUAGGGCCCCCACCCGCCGCACCGGGGUGGGGGCCGGAUAGUAUUUUUUUUUGGUUUUUUUUACAGCCACAGGCUGCUCGCUGUUUAGUGGACAUGCCCCUACUCGCGGUAUAGCAAGUAGGGGCAUUGGGGAGAUUUUAAUCUCCCUUAUGCUAUUAUGGGUGUCAUAUUGACCCCCAUAGAGUGAGGGGGGACAUAGGAAGUGGUGGGGAGCACUGCACUCUGAGGCUUCUAUCUUUACAUAUUACAAGGAGGGAGCUGUGUGCCGGUAGCUCCUUCCUUGUAAUAA